UACGGAGGGUGCAAGCGUUGCUCGGAAUCACUGGGCGUAAAGCGGGCUCAGGCGGUCUCGCAAGUCGGGUGUGAAAGCCCGGGGCUCAACCCCGGAAAUGCAUUCGAAACUGCGGGACUUGAGUACGGGAGAGGGGAGCGGAAUUCCUGGUGUAGAGGUGAAAUUCGUAGAUAUCAGGAGGAACACCGGUGGCGAAAGUGGCUCCCUGGUCCGAUACUGACGUUCAUGUCCGAAAGCGUGGGUAGCAAACAGG
This 253-nucleotide ribosomal RNA is filed under the name uncultured bacterium. RNAcentral's name for it is "partial 16S ribosomal RNA". It matches the Rfam family "Bacterial small subunit ribosomal RNA", at positions 524 to 776 of the family's 1533-position model. The record is from RNAcentral.